GCCGGGGUGGCAGAAUCUGGCAAUGCGCCGGCCUUGAGAGCCGGUGGCCAUCAUGGCCUUCUGGGUUCAAAUCCCAGCCCCGGCG
This 85-nucleotide transfer RNA is filed under the name candidate division MSBL1 archaeon SCGC-AAA382A13. RNAcentral's name for it is "candidate divison MSBL1 archaeon SCGC-AAA382A13 tRNA". It matches the Rfam family "tRNA". Rfam says of the family: Transfer RNA (tRNA) molecules are approximately 80 nucleotides in length. Their secondary structure includes four short double-helical elements and three loops (D, anti-codon, and T loops). The record is from Rfam by way of RNAcentral. Lineage: Archaea; Methanobacteriati; Methanobacteriota.